RNAcentral lists this ribosomal RNA (28 nucleotides) under Platanus gentryi. Lineage: Eukaryota; Viridiplantae; Streptophyta; Magnoliopsida; Proteales; Platanaceae. The record is from RNAcentral.
CUCCUCGGAACUCCUCGUGUUGCACCCC